RNAcentral lists this long non-coding RNA (323 nucleotides) under Panax ginseng (ginseng). Its description in RNAcentral is "long non-coding RNA (PGIN_LNC006825)". Lineage: Eukaryota; Viridiplantae; Streptophyta; Magnoliopsida; Apiales; Araliaceae. The record is from RNAcentral.
ACAAAACAUGCAUUCAAAUGUGAUUGAGAAGGAAAAAAACGUCCCAACUCCCUGAUUUGCAGGGCAAAAUACAAUGAUUAGGACAUCCAAGGUUUGUGCCGUGGACGCUGCCUAAAUCCACAUAUAGAAUUUAGUUUAUUUUGUAUGGUUCAAAACACAGAUGAUUUAAGUUAUUAAACUAUUUACUUGUUCUGUUAAAAUUAGAUCAUCAAAUCUAUUCUAUUAAAAAUGUUAAUUAUUUUGGAGUUUUGCAUUUGUUUAUCUAUUAACUCUUUAAUUGUCGCAUUUUUACUGUAUUAUUGCAUCAAUUUAACUCUAGUGGA